Molecule: ribosomal RNA, 512 nt
Filed under: uncultured bacterium
Lineage: Bacteria
Description: partial 16S ribosomal RNA
Rfam family: Bacterial small subunit ribosomal RNA
Source: RNAcentral
GACGAACGCUGGCGGCGUGCCUAAUACAUGCAAGUCGAGCGGAACUGGGGGAGCUUGCUCCUUCCAGUUUAGCGGCGGACGGGUGAGUAACACGUGGGCAACCUGCCCUGCAGAUCGGGAUAACUCCGGGAAACCGGUGCUAAUACCGAAUAGUUUGGCGCCUCUCCUGAGGCGCCACGGAAAGACGGUUUCGGCUGUCACUGCAGGAUGGGCCCGCGGCGCAUUAGCUAGUUGGUGGGGUAACGGCCCACCAAGGCGACGAUGCGUAGCCGACUUGAGAGGGUGACCGGCAACACUGGGACUGAGACACGGCCCAGACUCCUCCGGGAGGCAGCAGUAGGGAAUCUUCCGCAAUGGACGCAAGUCUGGCGGAGCAACGCCGCGUGAGUGACGAAGGUUUUCGGAUCGUAAAACUCUGUUGUGAGGGAAGAACACGUACCAACUAACUAUUGGUACCUUGACGGUACCUCACCAGAAAGCCACGGCUAACUACGUGCCAGCCGCCGCAGUAA